GACGAACGCUGGCGGCGUGCUUAACACAUGCCAGUCGAACGGAAAGGCCCUGCUUUUGUGGGGUGCUCGAGUGGCGAACGGGUGAGUAACACGUGAGUAACCUGCCCUUGACUUUGGGAUAACUUCAGGAAACUGGGGCUAAUACCGGAUAGGAGCUCCUGCUGCAUGGUGGGGGUUGGAAAGUUUCGGCGGUUGGGGAUGGACUCGCGGCUUAUCAGCUUGUUGGUGGGGUAGUGGCUUACCAAGGCUUUGACGGGUAGCCGGCCUGAGAGGGUGACCGGCGACAGGGGGACUGAGACACGGCCGAGGCUGAGAGGGGAGGCGGCAGUGGGGAAUGUGGCACAGUGGGAGGAAGCAGGGUGCAGCAGGGGCUCGGGGGGGAGGAGGGCCUGUGGGGUGUGCCCCGGUUCGGGCUGGGACGAAGGGGGAGGGCCGGAAGUGGGAAAAGAAGCACCGGCUAACGACGCGCCAGAAGCAGCGGGAAGACUCGGAAGAACAAACGUCUGAAC
Molecule: ribosomal RNA, 509 nt
Filed under: uncultured bacterium
Lineage: Bacteria
Description: partial 16S ribosomal RNA
Rfam family: Bacterial small subunit ribosomal RNA
Source: RNAcentral